AGGCGGCUGCGUUGCCCUGGUAACUUCACCUGAUGGGGCGGUAUCUAGGGCUUCAUAUCAUAUGCCUCCAAGUUAAUGUCCACAUCUGAAACAUCAACUCCUCUACUGAGUUAACAAAUCAGUGGGUCAUUCUUCAAAGAUGAUGCCCUUUGUUCAAGAAUGAAGGGGGAAGAAGGAGCUCAUGUGUGUGAGGAGGGUGCAAGGAUCUGCGGGAUCCAGACAACACCCUUGUGCCUUGCUAGGAGUAGAGGAGAAGGGCUAGCUAUGCCAAGAGCAGACACCGGGAAAGUACCGCAAUCCCAAAGUGUGUGGAGGCAAUCGCUUUGUUUUGGUCCGGCAGGAAAGAUUAAAAUGAAAAGGUGGAUAAUGCGGAUGAUGAUGGUCUUCGAGCAGGAGGAUGCUCCAGGAGAACUGUCUGCAGGAACGGAAUGGCCUUGUUGCUUUCUCUCUCAGAUAAAAUGUAUAGCACACGGUUAAAAAUGAUAUGGUACACAAGGAAAUAAAAUACAGAGGGAGAGAGAGAGCAGAAGCCGAAGACUGUCCAGACACAUGGCGAUACAGAUGCUGGAACUCUGCCGGGCAGCAACAGAGGGGAUAGUGAGUAAAGGUCAGACAGGAGGAGAGUGAGGCUGAAGGCAUAAAAGCAAAGACAGAGUCAGAGAAGGAGAGAGGACUUUAAAGGAUGGAGGGACACUGCAUUAUCUAGGAUAAGAUUAUUAACAUCAAAUUUUGAUGCAGGUCCACAAAUAUUAUAAUUUCAAGGGUAAUUAUUGAAUGAGUCACAAAUGCUUAUAAUAGAAGGGAAAAUGAAUAAUUGAAAUAAAAGCAAUUAAGUGUGUAGAGAG
This 845-nucleotide long non-coding RNA is filed under the name Mus spretus (western wild mouse). RNAcentral's name for it is "lncRNA (ENSMSPG00010049373.1)". Lineage: Eukaryota; Metazoa; Chordata; Mammalia; Rodentia; Muridae. The record is from RNAcentral.